This 253-nucleotide ribosomal RNA is filed under the name uncultured bacterium. RNAcentral describes it as "partial 16S ribosomal RNA". It matches the Rfam family "Bacterial small subunit ribosomal RNA", at positions 524 to 776 of the family's 1533-position model. The record is from RNAcentral.
UACGUAGGGUGCUAGCGUUGUCCGGAUUUAUUGGGCGUAAAGAGCGCGUAGGCGGCCAUGUAGGUCCGGUGUGAAAACUCGAGGCUUAACCUCGAGAUGUCAUCGGAAACCAUUUGGCUAGAGUCCGGAAGAGGAGAGUGGAAUUCCUGGUGUAGCGGUGAAAUGCGCAGAUAUCAGGAAGAACACCAAUGGCGAAAGCAGCUCUCUGGGACGGUACUGACGCUGAGACGCGAAAGCGUGGGGAGCGAACAGG